GACGAACGCUGGCGGCGUGCCUAAUACAUGCAAGUCGAACGAAACUUUCUUACACCGAAUGCUUGCAUUCACCGUAAGAAGUUGAGUGGCGGACGGGUGAGUAACACGUGGGUAACCUGCCUAAAAGAAGGGGAUAACACUUGGAAACAGGUGCUAAUACCGUAUAUCUCUAAGGAUCGCAUGAUCCUUAGAUGAAAGAUGGUUCUGCUAUCGCUUUUAGAUGGACCCGCGGCGUAUUAACUAGUUGGUGGGGUAACGGCCUACCAAGGUGAUGAUACGUAGCCGAACUGAGAGGUUGAUCGGCCACAUUGGGACUGAGACACGGCCCAAACUCCUACGGGAGGCAGCAGUAGGGAAUCUUCCACAAUGGACGCAAGUCUGAUGGAGCAACGCCGCGUGAGUGAAGAAGGUCUUCGGAUCGUAAAACUCUGUUGUUAGAGAAGAACACGAGUGAGAGUAACUGUUCAUUCGAUGACGGUAUCUAACCAGCAAGUCACGGCUAACUACGUGCC
This 512-nucleotide ribosomal RNA is filed under the name Ligilactobacillus salivarius. Its description in RNAcentral is "bacterial SSU rRNA". It matches the Rfam family "Bacterial small subunit ribosomal RNA", at positions 28 to 509 of the family's 1533-position model. The record is from RNAcentral. Lineage: Bacteria; Bacillati; Bacillota; Bacilli; Lactobacillales; Lactobacillaceae.